GAUGAAGAACGCAGCGAAAUGCGAUAAGUAAUGUGAAUUGCAGAAUUCAGUGAAUCAUCGAAUCUUUGAACGCAACUUGCGCUCCUUGGUAUUCUGAGGAGCAUGCCUGUUUGAGUGUCAUUAAAUUCUCAACCGCACUGACUUUGAAUUGGUGUGGCUUGGAUUUGGGGGGAAAAUUGUUGUGGGCUUUUUUGUAUAGUCUGCUCCCCUGAAAUUGAUUAGCGGUACCUUUGUGGAACUGUCUACAGGUGUGAUAAUUAUCUACAUCCUAGACAUCUGCUGGAAUGCUGCCUUCUAAACCUUACUUGUAUUGACAAUCUUGACCUCAAAUCAGGUAGGACUACCCGCUGAACUUAAGCAUAUCAAUAAGCGGAGGA
Molecule: unclassified non-coding RNA, 377 nt
Filed under: soil metagenome
Description: partial contains 5.8S ribosomal RNA, internal transcribed spacer 2, and large subunit ribosomal RNA
Rfam family: 5.8S ribosomal RNA (bases 1-120)
Source: RNAcentral